Molecule: long non-coding RNA, 217 nt
Organism: Stegostoma tigrinum
Lineage: Eukaryota; Metazoa; Chordata; Chondrichthyes; Orectolobiformes; Stegostomatidae
Exons: 3
Source: RefSeq, a predicted model, not a curated record
UGUAACGAUUAGCACUCUGGGUUUUGUAUCCAGCGAUACGAGCUCGAAUCUCGGUGGAACCGCUAAUUGUCGGGAAGGCGAAACCACUAAACUACAGCAGAGACCAGCCUGUACAGAUUCAUUCAUGGACUGCAAGUGCUUCCAAGGGCAGAGCACAAGAAGCGGGGACCACUAACAAGCAAAGAUUUCAUUUCUUGCAAUGCAGAUUGUCCAAUUG